RNAcentral lists this non-coding RNA (21 nucleotides) under Arabidopsis thaliana (thale cress). Lineage: Eukaryota; Viridiplantae; Streptophyta; Magnoliopsida; Brassicales; Brassicaceae. The record is from RNAcentral.
UGAAAAGGUGAGUACAAUUGC